RNAcentral lists this ribosomal RNA (283 nucleotides) under uncultured bacterium. RNAcentral's name for it is "partial 16S ribosomal RNA". It matches the Rfam family "Bacterial small subunit ribosomal RNA", at positions 29 to 334 of the family's 1533-position model. The record is from RNAcentral.
AGCGAACGCUAGCGGCGGGCUUAACACAUGCAAGUCGAGCGCCCUUCGGGGAGCGGCGAACGGGUGAGUAACACGUAGGUUACCUGCCCUCUGGCGGGGGAUAACCCAGGGAAACUUGGGCUAAUACCGCGUAUGGUCUACGGAUCAAAGUCUUCGGACGCCAGAGGAGGGGCCUGCGGCCCAUUAUUUAAUCCUAGUUGGUGGGGUAACGGCCUACCAAGGGUACGAUGGGUAGCUGGUCUGAGAGGAUGAUCAGCCACACUGGGACUGAGACACGGCCCAG